GACGAACGCUGGCGGCGUGCUUAACACAUGCAAGUCGAACGGAAAGGCCCUGCUUUUGUGGGGUGCUCGAGUGGCGAACGGGUGAGUAACACGUGAGUAACCUGCCCUUGACUUUGGGAUAACUUCAGGAAACUGGGGCUAAUACCGGAUAGGAGCUCCUGCUGCAUGGUGGGGGUUGGAAAGUUUCGGCGGUUGGGGAUGGACUCGCGGCUUAUCAGCUUGUUGGUGGGGUAGUGGCUUACCAAGGCUUUGACGGGUAGCCGGCCUGAGAGGGUGACCGGCCACAUUGGGACUGGGAUACGGCCCAGACUCCUACGGGAGGCAGCAGUGGGGAAUAUUGGACAAUGGGCGGAAGCCUGAUGCAGCAACGCCGCGUGCGGGAUGACGGCCUUCGGGUUGUAAACCGCUUUCGCCUGUGACGAAGCGUGAGUGACGGUAAUGGGUAAAGAAGCACCGGCUAACUACGUG
RNAcentral lists this ribosomal RNA (468 nucleotides) under uncultured bacterium. Its description in RNAcentral is "partial 16S ribosomal RNA". It matches the Rfam family "Bacterial small subunit ribosomal RNA", at positions 28 to 507 of the family's 1533-position model. The record is from RNAcentral.